AUGUCUAAGUACAUGCCGUAUUAAGGCGAAACCGCGAAUGGCUCAUUAAAUCANUCAUGGUUCCUUGGAUCGUACCUUACUACUUGGAUAACUGUGGCAAUUCUAGAGCUAAUACAUGCAGCAGAGCUCCGACCUUCGGGGACGAGCGCUUUUAUUAGACCAAAACCAAUCGGACCUCGUGUCCGUCUCUUGUGGUGACUCUGUAUAACUUUGGGCUGAUCGCACGGGCCUGUCCCGGCGACGUAUCUUUCAAGUGUCUGCCUUAUCAACUUUCGAUGGUAGGUUAUGCGCCUACCAUGGUCGUAACGGGUAACGGGGAAUCAGGGUUCGAUUCCGGAGAGGGAGCCUGAGAAACGGCUACCACAUCCAAGGAAGGCAGCAGGCGCGCAAAUUACCCACUCCCAGAACGGGGAGGUAGUGACGAAAAAUAACAAUACGGGACUCUUUUGAGACCCCGUAAUUGGAAUGAGUACACUCUAAAUCCUUUAACGAGGAUCCAUUGGAGGGUAAGUCUGGUGCCAGCAACCGCGGUAAUUCCAGCUCCAAUAGCGUAUAUUAAAGUUGUUGCGGUUAAAAAGCUCGUAGUUGGAUCUCAGUUCCAGACGGGUGGUCCGCCUACCGGUGGUUACUGCCUGUUCUGAACAGUCAGCCGGUUUCUCUUGAUGAUCUUCACCGGUUGUCUUGGGUGACCGGCAAGUUUACUUUGAAAAAAUUAGAGUGCUCAAAGCAGGCGUGACGCCUGAAUAAUGGUGCAUGGAAUAAUGGAAUAGGACCUCGGUUCUAUUUUGUUGGUUUUCGGAACACGAGGUAAUGAUUAAGAGGGACAGACGGGGGCAUUCGUAUUGCGACGCU
This 852-nucleotide ribosomal RNA is filed under the name Tegenaria tlaxcala. Its description in RNAcentral is "SSU rRNA". It matches the Rfam family "Eukaryotic small subunit ribosomal RNA", at positions 55 to 906 of the family's 1831-position model. The record is from RNAcentral. Lineage: Eukaryota; Metazoa; Arthropoda; Arachnida; Araneae; Agelenidae.